CCUACGGGAGGCAGCAGUGGGGAAUUUUGGACAAUGGGCGCAAGCCUGAUCCAGCAAUGCCGCGUGCAGGAUGAAGGCCUUCGGGUUGUAAACUGCUUUUGUACGGAACGAAACGGUGAGCUCUAAUACAGUUUGCUAAUGACGGUACCGUAAGAAUAAGCACCGGCUAACUACGUGCCAGCAGCCGCGGUAAUACGUAGGGUGCGAGCGUUAAUCGGAAUUACUGGGCGUAAAGCGUGCGCAGGCGGUGAUGUAAGACAGAUGUGAAAUGCCCGGGCUCAACCUGGGACCUGCAUUUGUGACUGCAUCGCUAGAGUACGGUAGAGGGGGAUGGAAUUCCGCGUGUAGCAGUGAAAUGCGUAGAUAUGCGGAGGAACACCGAUGGCGAAGGCAAUCCCCUGGACCUGUACUGACGCUCAUGCACGAAAGCGUGGGGAGCAAACAGGAUUAGAUACCCUGGUAGUCCACGCCCUAAACGAUGUCAACUGGUUGUUGGGUCUUCACUGACUCAGUAACGAAGCUAACGCGUGAAGUUGACCGCCUGGGGAGUACGGCCGCGAAGGUUGAAACUCAAAUGAAUUGACGG
RNAcentral lists this ribosomal RNA (586 nucleotides) under uncultured bacterium. Its description in RNAcentral is "bacterial SSU rRNA". It matches the Rfam family "Bacterial small subunit ribosomal RNA", at positions 338 to 916 of the family's 1533-position model. The record is from RNAcentral.